GAUGAACGCUGGCGGCGUGCUUAACACAUGCAAGUCGAACGAUGAAGCCCAGCUUGCUGGGUGGAUUAGUGGCGAACGGGUGAGUAACACGUGAGUAACCUGCCCUUAACUCUGGGAUAAGCCUGGGAAACUGGGUCUAAUACCGGAUAGGAGCGUCCACCGCAUGGUGGGUGUUGGAAAGAUUUAUCGGUUUUGGAUGGACUCGCGGCCUAUCAGCUUGUUGGUGAGGAAUGGCUCACCAAGGCGACGACGGGUAGCCGGCCUGAGAGGGUGACCGGCCACACUGGGACUGAGACACGGCCCAGACUCCUACGGGAGGCAGCAGUGGGGAAUAUUGCACAAUGGGCGCAAGCCUGAUGCAGCGACGCCGCGUGAGGGAUGACGGCCUUCGGGUUGUAAACCUCUUUCAGUAGGGAAGAAGCGAAAGUGACGGUACCUGCAGAAGAAGCACCGGCUAACUACGUG
RNAcentral lists this ribosomal RNA (465 nucleotides) under uncultured bacterium. Its description in RNAcentral is "partial 16S ribosomal RNA". It matches the Rfam family "Bacterial small subunit ribosomal RNA", at positions 28 to 507 of the family's 1533-position model. The record is from RNAcentral.